RNAcentral lists this ribosomal RNA (655 nucleotides) under bacterium T535. RNAcentral's name for it is "bacterial SSU rRNA". It matches the Rfam family "Bacterial small subunit ribosomal RNA", at positions 87 to 744 of the family's 1533-position model. The record is from RNAcentral.
GAUGACGAGUGGCGGACGGGUGAGUAAUGCUUGGGAACUUGCCUUUGCGAGGGGGAUAACAGUUGGAAACGACUGCUAAUACCGCAUAAUGUCUUCGGACCAAACGGGGCUUCGGCUCCGGCGCAAAGAGAGGCCCAAGUGAGAUUAGCUAGUUGGUAAGGUAACGGCUUACCAAGGCGACGAUCUCUAGCUGUUCUGAGAGGAAGAUCAGCCACACUGGGACUGAGACACGGCCCAGACUCCUACGGGAGGCAGCAGUGGGGAAUAUUGCACAAUGGGGGAAACCCUGAUGCAGCCAUGCCGCGUGUGUGAAGAAGGCCUUCGGGUUGUAAAGCACUUUCAGUUGUGAGGAAAAGUUAGUAGUUAAUACCUGCUAGCCGUGACGUUAACAACAGAAGAAGCACCGGCUAACUCCGUGCCAGCAGCCGCGGUAAUACGGAGGGUGCGAGCGUUAAUCGGAAUUACUGGGCGUAAAGCGCACGCAGGCGGUUUGUUAAGCUAGAUGUGAAAGCCCCGGGCUCAACCUGGGAUGGUCAUUUAGAACUGGCAGACUAGAGUCUUGGAGAGGGGAGUGGAAUUCCAGGUGUAGCGGUGAAAUGCGUAGAUAUCUGGAGGAACAUCAGUGGCGAAGGCGACUCCCUGGCCAAAGACUGAC